This 465-nucleotide ribosomal RNA is filed under the name Centipeda noxia. Its description in RNAcentral is "bacterial SSU rRNA". It matches the Rfam family "Bacterial small subunit ribosomal RNA", at positions 28 to 472 of the family's 1533-position model. The record is from RNAcentral. Lineage: Bacteria; Bacillati; Bacillota; Negativicutes; Selenomonadales; Selenomonadaceae.
GACGAACGCUGGCGGCGUGCUUAACACAUGCAAGUCGAACGGAGCGAAUGAAAGCUUGCUUUUAUAAGCUUAGUGGCAGACGGGUGAGUAACACGUAGACAACCUGCCGACAGGAUGGGGACAACAUUCCGAAAGGAAUGCUAAUACCGAAUGAAGCGCAGGAGAGGCAUCUCUCCUGCGUGAAAGAUGGCCUCUGAAUAUGCUAUCACCUGUUGAUGGGUCUGCGUCUGAUUAGCUGGUAGGUGAGGUAACGGCUCACCUAGGCGACGAUCAGUAGCCGGUCUGAGAGGAUGAACGGCCACAUUGGGACUGAGACACGGCCCAGACUCCUACGGGAGGCAGCAGUGGGGAAUCUUCCGCAAUGGGCGCAAGCCUGACGGAGCAACGCCGCGUGAGUGAAGAAGGUCUUCGGAUCGUAAAGCUCUGUUGAUGGGGACGAACGUGCCUAAUGCGAAUAGUAUUAGG